GGAUGUGAGGGUUAUCUGUUUGUGGUAUCUGUCACACUUUGACAACCAGGGUUGACUCAGCUGGCCUGGCUGGCAAGGCGGGUGUCCCCUUCCUGCCUCACUGCUCCAUGUGCAUCCCUCCAGAAGCUGUGUACUAGGUCGAGGAGGGUGACACUUCCCAAUAGAUGAGCAUUGGGGAAUGUCCCCCUAGCGUUCCGUUGCGAGAACCUCCAAACAAGCAGUCAAAAUUCCCCUCCUCUUUGCAGCACCACCUCAAAUACUUUUUCUUCUGUGAAGGCUUUGUAAAUGCCUCAAUAC
RNAcentral lists this small nuclear RNA (297 nucleotides) under Cebus imitator (Panamanian white-faced capuchin). RNAcentral's name for it is "7SK RNA (ENSCCAG00000005215.1)". It matches the Rfam family "7SK RNA". From Rfam's summary of the family: 7SK was discovered as an abundant small nuclear RNA in the mid-70s but a possible function has only recently been suggested. Two independent studies have found that 7SK RNA binds the CDK9/cyclin T complex (known as elongation factor P-TEFb). P-TEFb activates transcription by phosphorylating the C-terminal domain of RNA polymerase II. The record is from Rfam by way of RNAcentral. Lineage: Eukaryota; Metazoa; Chordata; Mammalia; Primates; Cebidae.